This 520-nucleotide ribosomal RNA is filed under the name Lobothallia alphoplaca. RNAcentral describes it as "eukaryotic LSU rRNA". It matches the Rfam family "Eukaryotic large subunit ribosomal RNA", at positions 129 to 664 of the family's 3401-position model. The record is from RNAcentral. Lineage: Eukaryota; Fungi; Ascomycota; Lecanoromycetes; Pertusariales; Megasporaceae.
CCCUCGGGUCCGAGUUGUAAUUUGCAGAGGGAGUUUCGGCGGCGGCGCCGGCCUAAGUCCCUUGGAACGGGGCGUCACAGAGGGUGAGAAUCCCGUAUGUGGCCGGCGGUCAAUUCCAUGUGAAACCCCUUCGACGAGUCGAGUUGUUUGGGAAUGCAGCUCAAAAUGGGUGGUAAAUUUCAUCUAAAGCUAAAUACCGGCCAGAGACCGAUAGCGCACAAGUAGAGUGAUCGAAAGAUGAAAAGCACUUUGGAAAGAGAGUUAAACAGUACGUGAAAUUGUUGAAAGGGAAGCGCUUGCAACCAGACUUGCUCGCGGGUGAUCAGCCUCCCGUGAGGGGGGUGCACUCGCCCGCGAUCAGGCCAGCAUCGGUUUUGGCGGGCGGAUAAAGUCCCCAGGAAUGUAGCUCCCUUCGGGGAGUGUUAUAGCCUGGGGCGGAAUGCGCUCAACCGGGACCGAGGACCGCGCUUCGGCUAGGAUGCUGGCGUAAUGGUUGUAAGCGACGCGUCGUGAAACACGG